RNAcentral lists this unclassified non-coding RNA (1758 nucleotides) under Hevea brasiliensis (rubber tree). Lineage: Eukaryota; Viridiplantae; Streptophyta; Magnoliopsida; Malpighiales; Euphorbiaceae. The record is from RNAcentral.
CUCGUGUAAAAUUUACCCUACGUAUGACUAACAUGAUUUAACUAGAAAGAGAGACAAAUAGAGAAUUACCUCAUUUGUAGGCUCAUCUGAAUGAACAAAAAAAUCAGCUUUAAGAUCCAUUGGCCACCCUAACUUCAAACAUUUGUCAGACCAAAAGUAUUCGUUUAGAUCAUCAUAAUUUCUCCAUUUUGAAUGGCUUGCCUUGCCUCCUUUGUUUCUCUUUGAUUCCUUUCGCACAACUUGGUAAAUUGGAGUUAUAACAUUCCUCAAAAAAACUUCAUGGUCAGGAGCUGCUGUUUCAUAUGUCUCUCCACUAACAGGAUGCACAUUGCUAUAUAACAUUCCAAAGACCUCAUUUGCCAUUUUAUGGAAAAUAUAGCAAAUGCAUUCCGGCAUGAAUCGAAUAUUUGAAGCUUCACCCCAUAUGAGAAGAUAGAGGCCAAUGUAGAUAAGCUCUAACUGUUGUUCAUUAGAACCCUGUGGAAACCUAAGAUGAUCUUCACAACGCAAGUAGUCACACCAUGAACGAUAGUUCUUAAAUAUUUUAUCCAUCAAUUGCUUUAUAGUGCCACUAUCAAGCAUAGAAUAAUUUUCGAGCGUCCUUUUCCUUGCAUCAAUAUUGGCUAGUAACAAUAUAAGGUGCUCCCUCUGAUUAGCCACAUUUCCUCUCUGAAAACCAAAAACAGAAGAAAGCCAAUCAAGGAUGUCAUUGACUGAUUUAACCCUUUCCUUAGGCAUGUCAUGUGGGGCAUCACGUGCCAGGCUAAUUCUAGGCAUUGGAAGAUUAUCCACAUUACGUAAAGCAUGAAGUGCAGCUUUGAUCUCAGGAAGUUCCAUAAUUGCAGGUUUUAUCCCUGCAGCAUACAAUGGAAGAAUGUUGUAAUGCUCAUACUGUUCCCUCAACCUUUCAACAUCCCGUGCAUAUCUUUUUGUCUCAUUUUCAAUUUUUGGAGCAGGUACAACUGCUAUCAGCACAUCAUAUAAUACUGCUGCAAUCUGAAGAAUCUUAGCCAUCUCUUCCGGUUUUUUCACAUAUUGGCCUUCUUUUACAUUGUCCACAUAGAAUUUCUGGUAAUAUAGCUGGAUUUCUUUUGGAUCAGUUCCUGCAAGCUGACGUUGUGUUUCAAGUUCUUCCUUCUCAAGCCUAUGCAACAGAUAGGUCUUGAACUGACGAACACCACGUCCACUUGAGUUUGGGUCCAUCCUGUGAGCCUUCUCAAGAGCAUGGAAGCGGCAGAGAUAGGCAACUCUGGGAUUGUCCUUCUCAACCUCAUUAGCUACACGAAGAAUGGGAGCGAUAAACGACAUAGAAGACGGGACAAGUUCGCUAUCGAAAGCAGAAGUAUCCUCAUCAGGCAAAUUGACCAUCAUUGUCUGAGCCCGAGUCAUCCUCCGAGACAGCGAGCGGGGCGGGCCCGCAUCGCUCUUGGUCCCGCUGGAACUAGCCAUCGGGAUCAAUCACAGCCAGAAUUACAAUGACUUGGAUGAUUAUGAUACUGAAGAUACAAACGAAAAGCAAGAGAAUGGCAGAUUGGGGUUUGAGAGAAUUGCAAAUGGUAAGGAGCGAACAAUGUUUAGUUUCGGUAUAAAAGAGAGACGCCAUUUGGAAAGAGAUGCUUUGGGUGUAGAGUGGGGCAAAGCCAAAGUGAUUGCUCAGAUAGCAAGAAAAGAAUUAAUCUCUUUGAAUUAGUGCUUUUGCUUUAUUGUAUAAACAAAUGAGCAAUCGAAAACUGGCUUCUUCUUUUUUUUUUUCUGAAG